Molecule: ribosomal RNA, 253 nt
Filed under: uncultured bacterium
Lineage: Bacteria
Description: partial 16S ribosomal RNA
Rfam family: Bacterial small subunit ribosomal RNA
Source: RNAcentral
UACGUAGGGGGCGAGCGUUGUCCGGAAUCAUUGGGCGUAAAGCGCUCGCAGGUGGUUCAUUGCGUCGUGCGUGAAAGACCCCGGCUCAACUGGGGAGGGUCGUGCGAAACGGGUGAACUAGAGGCCAGUAGGGGGAUGCGGAAUCCCGGGUGUAGUGGUGGAAUGCGUAGAGAUCCGGAGGAACACCAGCGGCGAAGGCGGCAUCCUGGACUAGUCCUGACACUCAGGAGCGAAAGCGUGGGGAGCGAUCCGG